RNAcentral lists this long non-coding RNA (256 nucleotides) under Elaeis guineensis (African oil palm). RNAcentral describes it as "long non-coding RNA (EGUI_LNC053213)". Lineage: Eukaryota; Viridiplantae; Streptophyta; Magnoliopsida; Arecales; Arecaceae. The record is from RNAcentral.
UCUUCUUCUAGCGGCUCUAGGAGUUCGUCUGUCUCGGUCUCCCAGAGUCCUCAGGCGGUAGAUGAACCGGUAGGUAGAGCUGAACCUCGUCCAAUUUUUGCACCGGACGCCAUUCCUUGUUCUCUGACUCCGGACGAACUCCAACUGAUAAGAGUUCAGUAUGGGGUUCCUCCGGAGUACGAACUGGAACUUCCUGGCCCGUCCGAUCGGGCUAGUGCCCCUCCCCCCGACUGCUUCUGCCUGUACCAGGAGGCCU